AGCUCUGCGCAGGGGCGGUAUCGCGGCCAGAGAGGUUUUCGGAGGCGCGAUCACUGCUAACAAACCUUUUCCCAGUGCCCGCCGUGACGGCUUGACAUACCGUCGGCACCGGCAAUUUUUGACGUCUCCGUGGAG
Pipistrellus kuhlii (Kuhl's pipistrelle) is the source of this 135-nucleotide small nuclear RNA. RefSeq annotates it as U4 spliceosomal RNA. The transcript has a single exon. The record is from RefSeq and is a predicted model, not a curated record. Lineage: Eukaryota; Metazoa; Chordata; Mammalia; Chiroptera; Vespertilionidae.